RNAcentral lists this transfer RNA (75 nucleotides) under Chloroflexota bacterium. RNAcentral describes it as "Chloroflexi bacterium tRNA-Met". It matches the Rfam family "tRNA". From Rfam's summary of the family: Transfer RNA (tRNA) molecules are approximately 80 nucleotides in length. RNAcentral also lists the same sequence under 2 other names. Lineage: Bacteria; Bacillati; Chloroflexota. The record is from RNAcentral.
UGCGGGGUAGAGCAGUGGUAGCUCGUCGGGCUCAUAACCCGGAGGUCGCAGGUUCGAAUCCUGCCCCCGCUACCA